CAAAAAGCCCCCAAAUGGCCCCAAAUUCCCCCCCCCCGACCCCCCAAAUUGCCCCAAAUCGGCCCCAAAUCGACCCCAAAUUUGGCCCCCACCGUCCGACGGCGGCGCCUCCUUCAGGUGGGGGUCGGCAGUGCUGUCCUUCCUGCGGAGAAACCCCAUAGAGACCCCAUAGAGACCCCAUAGGGACCCCAUAGGGACCCCAUAGGGACCCAUAGAGACCCAUAGAGACCCCAUAGAUAACCAUAGAGACACCAUAGGGAUCCAUAGAGACCCAUAGAGACCCCAUAGAUAACCAUAGAGACACCAUAGGGAUCCAUAGAGACCCAUAGAGACCCCAUAGAUAACCAUAGAGACCCAUAGAGACCCCAUAGAUAACCAUAGAGACCCAUAGGGAUCCAUAGGGACCCCAUAGAGAGCCCAUAGAGACCCAUAGAGACCCAUAGAGACCCAUAGAGACCCCACAGGGAUCCAUAGAGACCCCAUAGAGACCCAUAGGGAUCCAUAGAGACCCAUAGAGACCCCAUAGAGACCCAUAGGGAUCCAUAGAGACCCAUAGAGACCCAUAGGGAUCCAUAGAGACCCAUAGAGAUCCCAUAGAGACUCAUAGGGACCCCAUAGAAACCCAUAGAGACCCAUAGGGACACCAUAGAAACCCAUAGAGACCCAUAGGGAUCCAUAGAGACCCCACAGAGACUCAUAGAGACCCCAUAGAAACCCAUAGAGACAUAGGGACCCAUAGAGACACAUAGAGACACAUAGGGACCCAUAGAGACCCAUAGAGACUCCACAGAGACACAUAGAGACCCAUAGAAACCCAUAGAGACCCAUAGAGACCCAUAGAGAACCCAUAGAGACCCCAUAGAGACCCAUAGAGACCCAUAGAGACCCCAUAGGGACCCAUAGAGACCCAUAGAGAUCCAUAUGGACCCAUAGAGACCUCAUAGAGACCCAUAGGGACCCAUAAGGACACAUAGAGACCCCAUAGACACCAAUAGAGACCCCAUAGGGAUCCACAGAGACCCAUAGGAACCCCAUAGAGACCCAUAGGGACCCAUAGAGGCCCCAUAGAGACCCAUAGAGACCCAUAGGGACCCAUAGAUACCCAUAGAGACCCAUAGAGACCCCAUAGAGCCCCAUAGGGACCCAUAGAGACCCCAUAGAAACCCAUAGAGACCCCAUAGAGACCCAUAGAGACCCCAUAGGGAUCCACAGAGACCCCAUAGAAAUCUAUAUGGACGCAUAGAGACCCCAUAGAGACCCAUGGAGACACAUAGAGAUCCAUAGGGACCUCAUAGAGACCCCAUAGAGAUCCAUAGGGACCCAUAGAGACCCAUAGAGACCCAUAGAGACCCCAUAGAGACUCAUAGGGACCCAUAGAGACCCCAUAGAGACCCCAUAGAGCCCCAUAGGGACCCAUAGAGACCCAUAGAGACCCAUAGAGACCCCAUAGAGACUCAUAGGGACCCAUAGAGACCCCACAGAGACUCAUAGAGACCCCAUAGAAACAUCAUAGAAACCCAUAGAGACCCAUAGGGACCCAUAGAGACCCAUAGAGACCCAUAGGGACCCAUAGAGACCCAUAGAGACCCAUAAAGACACAUAGAGUCCUCAUAGAGACCCAUAGGGACCCAUAGGGACCCAUAGAGACCCCACAGAGACCCAUAGAGACCCCAUAGAGAUCCAUAGAGACCCCAUAGAGACCCCAUAGGGACCCCAUAGAGACCCACAGGGACCCAUAGAGACCCAAAGGGAGCCAUAGAGACCCCAUAGAGACCCCAUAUGGACCCAUAGAAACAUCAUAGAAACCCAUAGAGACCCCAUAGAGCCCCAUAGGGACCCAUAGAGACCCAUAGAGACCCCAUAGAGACACAUAGGGACCCAUAGAGACCCAUAGAGACCCCACAGAAAUCCAUAGAGACCCCAUAGAGACACAUAGAGACACAUAGAAACCCAUAGGGACACAUAGAGACCCAUAGAGACCCAUAGAGACCCAUAGAGACCCCACAGAGACCCAUAGAGUCCCCAUAGAGAUCCAUAGAGACCCCAUAGAGACCCCAUAGGGACCCAUAGAGACCCAUAGAGACACAUAGAGACCCAUAGGGACCCAUAGGGACUCCAUAGGGACUCCAUAGGGACCCAUAGAGACCCAAAGGGACCCAUAGGGACUGAUAGGGACCCAUAGAGACCCAUAGAGGCCCCAUAGAGACCCUUUGGGGUCACAGCCGGGGAUCAUUCAUUGGGGUCCCUCAUUGGGGUCAUUCAUUGGGGUCAUUAACUGGGGUCAUUAAUUGGGGUGACUAAUUAGCAUGGCUAAUUGGGGUCACAUUGGGGUCCCUUUGGGGUCACAGAUGGGGAUCAUUCAUUGGGGUUCCUCAUUGAGGCCAUUCAUUGGGGUCAUUAAUUGGGGUCCCUAUUAAUUGGGGUCAUUAACUGGGGUCAUUAAUUGGGGUGACUAAUUAGCAUGGCUAAUUGGGGCCACCUUAUGAACACAGAUUGGGGGCCCUUUGGGGUCACAGAUGGGGAUCAUUCAUUGGGGUCCCUCAUUGAGGCCCUUAAUUGGGGUCAUUAAUUGGGGUCAUUAACUGGGGUCAUUAAUUGGGGUGACUAAUUAGCAUGGCUAAUUGGGGUCACAUUGGGGUCCCUUUGGGGUCACAGAUGGGGAUCAUUCAUUGGGGUCCCUCAUUGGGGUCAUUCAUUGGGGCCAUUCAUUGGGGCCAUUCAUUGGGCUCAUUAAUUGGGGUUCCCCGUUAAUUGGGGUUAAUUAAUAGUGCCGACUCACUCUCCGCCCCCCCCCCGCGGCUCUGGGGCGGCUCUGUGUGCCCAGGGGGGGUCGCAGCGCUCCCGCAGCGUGGCUCAGAGCAUGGCACCACCUGGGGGGGGACCCCAAAAAUGAGACCCCCCCCAAAUUGGGGACCCCACCCCCAAAAUGGGACACCCCCUCCACAAUGGACCCCCCCCCAAAUUGGGACCCCCC
This 2974-nucleotide long non-coding RNA is filed under the name Gallus gallus (chicken). RNAcentral's name for it is "lncRNA (ENSGALG00010000104.1)". The record is from RNAcentral. Lineage: Eukaryota; Metazoa; Chordata; Aves; Galliformes; Phasianidae.